Molecule: ribosomal RNA, 464 nt
Filed under: uncultured bacterium
Lineage: Bacteria
Description: partial 16S ribosomal RNA
Rfam family: Bacterial small subunit ribosomal RNA
Source: RNAcentral
GACGAACGCUGGCGGCGUGCUUAACACAUGCAAGUCGAACGGAAAGGCCCCUUUGGGGGUACUCGAGUGGCGAACGGGUGAGUAACACGUGAGUAACCUGCCCUUGACUUCGGGAUAACUUCAGGAAACUGGGGCUAAUACCGGAUAGGAAUCCUUGCUGCAUGGUGGGGGUUGGAAAGCUUCGGCGGUUUUGGAUGGACUCGCGGCUUAUCAGCUUGUUGGUGGGGUAGUGGCUUACCAAGGCUUUGACGGGUAGCCGGCCUGAGAGGGCGACCGGCCACAUUGGGACUGAGAUACGGCCCAGACUCCUACGGGAGGCAGCAGUGGGGAAUAUUGCACAAUGGGCGGAAGCCUGAUGCAGCAACGCCGCGUGCGGGAUGACGGCCUUCGGGUUGUAAACCGCUUUCAGCAGGGGCGAAGCUUGUGGUGACGGUACCUGAAGAAGAAGCACCGGCUAACUACGU